GAUGAGCGCUGGCGGCGUGCCUAAUACAUGCAAGUCGAGCGAACAGACGAGGAGCUUUCUCCUCUGACGUUAGCGGCGGACGGGUGAGUAACACGUGGAUAACCUACCUAUAAGACUGGGAUAACUUCGGGAAACCGGAGCUAAUACCGGAUAAUAUAUUGAACCGCAUGGUUCAAUAGUGAAAGACGGUUUUGCUGUCACUUAUAGAUGGAUCCGCGCCGCAUUAGCUAGUUGGUAAGGUAACGGCUUACCAAGGCAACGAUGCGUAGCCGACCUGAGAGGGUGAUCGGCCACACUGGAACUGAGACACGGUCCAGACUCCUACGGGAGGCAGCAGUAGGGAAUAUUCCGCAAUGGGCGAAAGCCUGACGGAGCAACGCCGCGUGAGUGAUGAAGGUCUUCGGAUCGUAAAACUCUGUUAUUAGGGAAGAACAAAUGUGUAAGUAACUAUGCACGUCUUGACGGUACCUAAUCAGAAAGCCACGGCUAACUACGUG
RNAcentral lists this ribosomal RNA (497 nucleotides) under uncultured bacterium. RNAcentral describes it as "partial 16S ribosomal RNA". It matches the Rfam family "Bacterial small subunit ribosomal RNA", at positions 28 to 507 of the family's 1533-position model. The record is from RNAcentral.